This is a non-coding RNA of Hordeum vulgare subsp. vulgare (domesticated barley), 105 nucleotides long. The record is from Rfam. Lineage: Eukaryota; Viridiplantae; Streptophyta; Magnoliopsida; Poales; Poaceae.
CUGCUUGAUUUGCAUCUACUGUUAACCUGGACAAAUAAUAAGGUUGAUGGAAUUAGGUGUUCAUCAUGCAAGUCACAGAUGCUCAUACAUGACCAUCACACAUAC